Molecule: long non-coding RNA, 779 nt
Organism: Sphaerodactylus townsendi
Lineage: Eukaryota; Metazoa; Chordata; Lepidosauria; Squamata; Sphaerodactylidae
Exons: 4
Source: RefSeq, a predicted model, not a curated record
CCCAGCAGCGGCGCGGUGGCGCGGCGACGGUGGUCGCUGCCCCGCGCUUGGGCAACCCCCCCCCCCAAUAAAACAGCACCCUCCCCAAAAAGGGGGCCCCGGAGCCAAGGCUGCUGCCUCCGCCCCGGUUGGUGCAGGAAGAAAAGCCACGCAGGGCAAUUUUGAGCAGAAAAACAGCCACAGGGGAAAGGAUUAUGCGCUCCUCCCCCCUACCUUGCCUGUGCUCCAACUGACAGUCUCCCAAGGCAGUUUUCUGUUGGAAAAUAAAUGGUUCGUCCUGUCCCCUCCUCUUCGCCUGCUCUGCUGCCGUCUGACAUCCCUCACACACAAGUCAAUAAUCCUCUCCUAGACAAUGCCCAUCAGGAGAAUUGCCUUUCACUCCAACUCAGCUGCCAGCUCACAACAGCCUGCGGGCACAUCGCAGGGGUCGCCCCGCUGCGCCUCUCUCGACUGAUCUGGAUUGACGUUUCCUUUGGUUGAGGAUUCUCCGCUUGUUGUUGGCUGGGUUCAGCCCUGCGCACCGCCUCCGCUCCCGCUUGGCCGUCUGUAGAUUAAAGGAGCUCGAGUCUAUUAUGCUUUAUUGCAAAAACCGAAGAUGAGCCGGUCGGAUGAGGAUUUUCCCCUCUCUCUCUCCCUCUCCUCCUGCCCGACCCAGGCAUUACCACGAUCCCAAGUGGAGCAUUUGUGUUCUUGUAGUUCUUCAGUAUAAAUAAAUACCCAAGCUGGAAGACCAAUCUGGGCCCCGCUAGGAAUAAUAAAGAAAAAUAAUAUGCCAUUGA